ACCAUAAACACUGUCACCACAGUGAAGAAGGCCCAACAGCGGCUUUCCUUUAUUAGGCUGCUAAGGAAGUCCUAUAGAGGACUUGUGGAGACUGUCUGGUUUGGAAGCACUACCCAGGCAGAAAGGAGAGCUCUCCAAAGAGUUGUAAAGACCGGAGAGAAGAUCAUCGGAGCGGACCUUCCAUCCAUGUGUAGCAGGAUUAGGUGAGCUGUGAUUGACAGUUAUCACAACCUAUUAGGGAGUGGCAGUCCCCUUUUAAGCGGCGAUUGGCUGCUGCCCGAAAUGCGUCAUGUCCGGCUUUCCCCCUUGGUGUUCGCAACGAUAGCGACAGAACGUUUGUCUAUCGUGCUGGUGCCCUCCUGUACUUGAGUGGGUUAAAUGACUGUUUACCCUCAGUUAGCUGUUGUUUACCUGAUGUUGGUAAACCUGUGCUGUAAACUGUAAUGCGUCUGAGGUGAUGCCACUGUUUGGAUUCUCCCUUUUGUUCUACGCCGUGCUUCCUCUAUUGCUGCAGUUUGAUUUUCGCGCUGCUGUGUCGUACCGCUGAAACGACGUCACUAUCUUUACCGUGAUACCAUGGACUGUACACUGUCUGGUUUCUAAGCUUUACUGCAAAAUUCUAUUUCUCAGUGGAGGAUUGUCCAGCACAUUGAAGCUGGCGUAUGGACUUUGUGUUCGCGCCGUAUGAUUUCUUCUGUGUAGCCCAUUUGCCAUUUAUUGGUGUGUGUUGCUUUACUUUCAGGGGCUGGGGGUUUCCACGGGCAAAGGAUCUUGUAAUGGUGGUGGUACAGCGUCAAUGGUUGCCGUGCUACACAUUUUUGCUGUGUACGAGUGUGUGUGCUCUGAAUUCACGGUGUGGUGUGUGAGUGCUUUGUGAUAAUUUGCGCCAGUGAUCACUCCUGUGGGAACCUCAGCCCUGUAAGUUGAUGUUUUGUGUUUUUAUUUAUGUUGACUGUUGCCAGUCAUUGUAUUCUUUGUAGAAAUUAUAUUUUCUUUUCUACAGUCGUUUUGUACUUUUGUAUAAUUUUGUUUUGUGUGAUAAUGUGAUGUUUUAAGAUAAUCUGUUUUGUGUCUUUUAUGGUUGGAGUGUAAGAGAGCUGUGUGUGGAGUAACAUCAGUCUAUGCCUGUUUUAAGUCAUUCUCCUACCUCAAUUAAGGUUGUAAAAAUAAAUCUUAUAUUUUUGUAUUAUACCCACGUCUCCUGCUCAUUGCUCUUGUUCUGAGGAAUGAACUUGUGUGCCUUACCGCCUUUUUGGGUGUAAGGAUUAUUUCCCUGGGUGUAAGUCCUGGGGUGGCGUAGUCGGAGUUUUAUGCAAAAUCUUUGCUUUCGUCACAAAGCUUUCCCCCAACCCCCUCGUCAUGCCACACAUGGACACUCUACAUACAAAAUGCUGCAGGAAGAGACCUAAGAACAUUCUCAGGGACACACACCACCAUGCACAUUCAAUGUUUAGGCCUAAGCAUUCAAUAUAUAAUUUGAGAUAUGGCAGAUCGGACAGUAUUAUUUUGCACAGGGUGCGGUUUUAUAAC
Misgurnus anguillicaudatus (oriental weatherfish) is the source of this 1530-nucleotide non-coding RNA. Lineage: Eukaryota; Metazoa; Chordata; Actinopteri; Cypriniformes; Cobitidae. The record is from RefSeq and is a predicted model, not a curated record.